GACUGGAUUUGACAGCGGGCUGAACGGAUAUGUAAGCAUGCAGUGCAUUGAUUGUUGGCACUAUAAUCCUAAUGGUCGAAAAUUUAUCUGGCGAAAAUAAUUACGCUCUCGCUGCUUAAUUGAAGUAUAGUAGAUUAACUUUAUCCUGAUGCAAGGCGUCGGGACGAGACAUCACCCGGAAGCUGUUGUUCCGAAGCGUGCCGACAAGGUGGUGCAGCAAAUCGGAAAUAGUCUGAGGCGGCCUCGCGUCUCGGAUGAAAUUUUUAGAGGAUAGGUCGUGGUUUAGUUGCUCUUUCCUAUGCUGUGGCUGAAUCUUUGGAAGAGAUAAGCAUGUAGAAAGCAUCUUCUUUCCUCGUUUGGACGAGGGUUCGAUUCCCUCCUGGUCCACA
Molecule: transfer-messenger RNA, 389 nt
Filed under: bovine gut metagenome
Rfam family: transfer-messenger RNA
About the family: Bacterial tmRNA, also known as 10Sa RNA or SsrA, is named for its dual tRNA and mRNA-like properties. Its role is to liberate the mRNA from a stalled ribosome.
Source: RNAcentral